GCUGGCGUAGCUCAAUUGGUAGAGCACCUGUUUUGUAAGCAGGUGGUUCGGGGUUCAAGUCCCCGCGCUAGCUCCG
RNAcentral lists this transfer RNA (76 nucleotides) under Myxococcales bacterium. Its description in RNAcentral is "tRNA-Thr". It matches the Rfam family "tRNA". Rfam says of the family: Transfer RNA (tRNA) molecules are approximately 80 nucleotides in length. The record is from RNAcentral. Lineage: Bacteria; Pseudomonadati; Myxococcota; Myxococcia; Myxococcales.